AUCCUACGGGGCGCAGCAGUGGGGAAUAUUGCGCAAUGGGGGAAACCCUGACGCAGCAACGCCGCGUGCAGGAAGAAGGUCUUCGGAUUGUAAACUGUUGUCGCAGGGGAAGAAGACAGUGACGGUACCCUGUGAGAAAGUCACGGCUAACUACGUGCCAGCAGCCGCGGUAAUACGGAGGAUCCGAGCGUUAUCCGGAUUUAUUGGGUUUAAAGGGUGCGUAGGCGGGCUGUUAAGUCAGCGGUAACAGCCCGGGGCUCAACCCCGGCGAGCCGUUGAAACUGGCUGUCUUGAGAUGUCGAGAG
RNAcentral lists this ribosomal RNA (305 nucleotides) under uncultured bacterium. RNAcentral's name for it is "bacterial SSU rRNA". It matches the Rfam family "Bacterial small subunit ribosomal RNA", at positions 335 to 656 of the family's 1533-position model. The record is from RNAcentral.